GCCUGGGUGGCUCAAUCGGUUAAGUGUCUGACUUCGGCUCAGGUCAUGAUCUCAUGGUUUGUGAGUUCGAGUCCCACAUCAGGCU
Molecule: transfer RNA, 85 nt
Filed under: Felis catus (domestic cat)
Lineage: Eukaryota; Metazoa; Chordata; Mammalia; Carnivora; Felidae
Also listed under: 2 other names
Rfam family: tRNA
About the family: Transfer RNA (tRNA) molecules are approximately 80 nucleotides in length. Their secondary structure includes four short double-helical elements and three loops (D, anti-codon, and T loops). Further hydrogen bonds mediate the characteristic L-shaped molecular structure. tRNAs have two regions of fundamental functional importance: the anti-codon, which is responsible for specific mRNA codon recognition, and the 3' end, to which the tRNAs corresponding amino acid is attached (by aminoacyl-tRNA synthetases). tRNAs cope with the degeneracy of the genetic code in two manners: having more than one tRNA (with a specific anti-codon) for a particular amino acid; and 'wobble' base-pairing, i.e. permitting non-standard base-pairing at the 3rd anti-codon position.
Source: Rfam by way of RNAcentral